Molecule: ribosomal RNA, 526 nt
Filed under: uncultured Nitrosomonas sp.
Lineage: Bacteria; Pseudomonadati; Pseudomonadota; Betaproteobacteria; Nitrosomonadales; Nitrosomonadaceae
Description: bacterial SSU rRNA
Rfam family: Bacterial small subunit ribosomal RNA
Source: RNAcentral
CCUACGGGAGGCAGCAGUGGGGAAUUUUGGACAAUGGGCGAAAGCCUGAUCCAGCCAUGCCGCGUGAGUGAAGAAGGCCUUCGGGUUGUAAAGCUCUUUUAGUCGGAAAGAAAGAGUUGCAAUGAAUAAUUGUGAUUUAUGACGGUACCGACAGAAAAAGCACCGGCUAACUACGUGCCAGCAGCCGCGGUAAUACGUAGGGUGCGAGCGUUAAUCGGAAUUACUGGGCGUAAAGGGUGCGCAGGCGGUCUUGCAAGUCAGAUGUGAAAGCCCCGGGCUUAACCUGGGAAUUGCGUUUGAAACUACAAGGCUAGAGUGCAGCAGAGGGGAGUGGAAUUCCAUGUGUAGCAGUGAAAUGCGUAGAGAUGUGGAAGAACACCGAUGGCGAAGGCAGCUCCCUGGGUUGACACUGACGCUCAUGCACGAAAGCGUGGGGAGCAAACAGGAUUAGAUACCCUGGUAGUCCACGCCCUAAACGAUGUCAACUAGUUGUCGGAUCUAAUUAAGGAUUUGGUAACGUAGCUAA